GAUGAACGCUGGCGGCGUGCUUAACACAUGCAAGUCGAACGGAAAGGCCCAAGCUUGCUUGGGUACUCGAGUGGCGAACGGGUGAGUAACACGUGGGUGAUCUGCCCUGCACUUCGGGAUAAGCCUGGGGAACUGGGUCUAAUACCGGAUAGGACCACUUCUUGGAUGUUGUGGUGGAAAGUUUUUCGGUGUGGGAUGAGCUCGCGGCCUAUCAGCUUGUUGGUGGGGUAAUGGCCUACCAAGGCGUCGACGGGUAGCCGGCCUGAGAGGGUGUACGGCCACAUUGGGACUGAGAUACGGCCCAGACUCCUACGGGAGGCAGCAGAGGGGAAUAUUGCACAAUGGGCGCAAGCCUGAUGCAGCGACGCCGCGUGGGGGAUGACGGCCUUCGGGUUGUAAACUCCUUUCGCUAGGGACGAAGCUUAUUUUGUGACGGUACCUGGAGAAGAAGCACCGGCUAACUACGUG
Molecule: ribosomal RNA, 468 nt
Filed under: uncultured bacterium
Lineage: Bacteria
Description: partial 16S ribosomal RNA
Rfam family: Bacterial small subunit ribosomal RNA
Source: RNAcentral